This 362-nucleotide ribosomal RNA is filed under the name uncultured Sphingobacteriales bacterium. RNAcentral's name for it is "bacterial SSU rRNA". It matches the Rfam family "Bacterial small subunit ribosomal RNA", at positions 1021 to 1382 of the family's 1533-position model. Lineage: Bacteria; Pseudomonadati; Bacteroidota; Sphingobacteriia; Sphingobacteriales. The record is from RNAcentral.
ACUUGACUAGCUGAGAGGAGGGUGCAUGGCCGUCGUCAGUUCGUACUGUGAGGUGUCGGGUUAAGUCCCAUAACGAGCGCAACCCUUAUCGUUAGUUGCCAUCUGGUAAUGCAGGGGACUCUAGCGAAACUGCCACCGUAAGGUGAGAGGAAGUGGGGAUGACGUCAAAUCAGCACGGCCCUUAUGUCCAGGGCUACACACGUGUUACAAUGGUCGGUACAGAGGGCAGCUACCUGGUGACAGGAUGCUAAUCUCGAAAACCGGUCUCAGUUCGGAUCGAAGUCUGCAACUCGACUUCGUGAAGCUGGAUUCGCUAGUAAUCGCGCAUCAGCUAUGGCGCGGUGAAUACGUUCCCGGGCCUU